UCUUCCGUCUUCCUCCUCACCACGCCUCGCCACCGAUUAACGAUUAAAAUUAAACAACGCUGGAGGGAGCGGAGAGGGGAAAAAUCUGGCCUUGCCCUCCGAGAGAGCAGAUUCCGCAAGCUCCGACGCCGCAACAAGCUGCUUCGCUUCGUCUCCUUCUCGCCCCGCCUCCUCGCCGUCGCCACCAGGGCCAGGGUUUCCUGCUCGGCUCCGAGCAAGCCAGUUCCUCGUCUCCGGCGCCAUUCCCCUCCCCCUUGGGCUCCGCCGCCGGAUCCAACCCCUCAACCACCACAGGACAGGACAGCGCAGAUUCUAGAGGUGGUCCAUCAGUUGGCGCAAUGGGCGUCGAGGAGCAAGCCGUGCAGCAACCGGACGGUGGCGGCGGAAAGCCUGAUGCCGCCAGCGCCAAGCCACCGCCUCCGGAACAUGGUCAGCAAACACCACCGAGCAACCCCCGUGCGUCGACCUGCAGCACGGACAAGGACGACGACGGCCACGCCAUCUGCCGGGUGUGCCAAUGCACGGAGCCUGACCUGACAGGCGCAUCUGCUCUGGGUUUCCUAGGCAUCGUGCCGCCUUCCCCUCACCCAUCCUGCCUCAAGGACCCGGGCAACGACGCCACCAAGAAUCCCACCACCAAGGAUGCCUCCAACGCUCCAACAUUUCUCGAGUUCAUAGGCCCCGAGGGGGAGAUCUUCAAGUGCGCCACCGACAUCGAAUCAGGCCAUUUCCGCCCGCAGGACGCCAUCGUGAACCUCGGAUGCUCCUGCAAGAACGAGCUCGCGCUCGCGCACUACGCGUGCGCGCUCAAGUGGUUCAUCAGCCACGGGUCCACCGUGUGCGAGAUAUGCAGUGAUGCCGCCACCAACGUGCGGCCCCAGGAUUACAACAUGGUGCUCGCGUCACUCAAGGACUACCAAGCUCUCAGGGAAAGGACCUCCACCGGGGGUCUCUCCUACUUGCACUACAGGGCGGAGGCGUCCGUCGACCCGGUCGCCCUUGCCGCAGUACGGAGACAGCGGCUCUGCGAGAUAUCGUCAUGGUUCAACCCUCACAAUGCACAUUUCGUGUUUUCUCACAGUCAGAGGCACAGCAGCUACAACGAAGAGGUGCCAGUUAGCCCAAGUAAUAACUCUGCAGACUAUAGUGUUUCGGCUUGGGGGCCAGCACACGGGGGGCCGAGUGUCGGGAGUACCGGAGCUUUUGUUGCUAUCGCCCUAGCUUUCGUUAUUCUUGCAUGGUUUGUUGCUCCACACGUUGGCAAGAGAGCGGCUGCGAUCCUUCUUCACAUGCUUCUGGGAGGCCUUUGCUCGUUGACGAUAAUAAUCUCACUGAGAUUUGUAAGUAAACUAGGAUGCUUAACACAUAUGGUCUUCCCGAGAAUCCAGUUCGGGUCGAUGCGGUACUGGGGGAUCCUGUUCGUGUCCUGGUUCCUCGUGUUUGGAGUGUGGGCCUCGCGAACCCGCACCAUCCGCCGCAAUUCAUGAUUACAUCGAGUGUGUCCUUAGUCAGCCGCUGUGAGGAUUUAGGACCGCGGCGUCGCAAGGGUAGCGUCCACGACAGCGUUAGCAUUGGAUCUUUCUUCACCAACAGAAGAAGUGAAUGAAGCUGGGCUUGUUCCAAGUUGUAAGAGUAUUACUGCUGCUCCUUUCUAUGGUCUGCUGCUCUGAUGUUGCCGCUGCCCUUGCGUGCAAACCGCUCUUGUGUUGUGGCACCACUCUUGCUUUGCUUACCAAGGUAGAGGAGGAAGAGCGUGGCGGCGGUCUUGGCGAGGCUGGCCACGCAGAAGUUCUCCACGUAGCAGAAGAUGUCCCACAUUGCUGCCAUGCCAUGGCCGGUGAGGAGAGGUUGGCGGUCAGCAGAAGAAGGGAAACUGAAUGAAUGAAUGAAUGAAUGUACAAGUAGGUAAUGACCUGCAUGCCUUGCCGGAGAGGAAGUCGAUGGGCUUGCCGGAGAGGAGGUCGGCGCCCUCACCGACGCCACAGCAAGGAGCAGCAGCAAUGAGACUGCCAUGGAGGACUUGCUCGCGCUCGCCCGCCGGCGCGGCCUCCUCUAGCCACCCACCAGGCAGGAGCCACCCAGCAGCCAGGAGCAGCAAUGAGGAUGGCUGCCGCCAGGUCCGUCAGUCAGGUACACAAGACAAGAAUGAACACCUGCUCUGCUGGUGCUUGGCCAUGGCAUUCAGUCAUGCCUAGGAAGAGAAAGAUCUUAAUGAAUUGUAGAUCUUUCAACAACAACAACUUGAUUGGAUUGGAUUAGAUUAGAUUACAGCAACUCAGAUGCUCUCUUGUCUUCCAUGUCUCUUUUCUUCCUAAAAUCCAGUGCCUGGCUGAUGCUCCAUGGAAUGUACUCUCUCUGUCCUCCGUCGACUUAUUAACUGAAAGAAAAGAAAGAGAUGGAACAGAGGAGAUUUUUCAGGCAACCAAUGCCAAUUUUCAUUC
Molecule: RNA transcript, 2441 nt
Organism: Triticum dicoccoides
Lineage: Eukaryota; Viridiplantae; Streptophyta; Magnoliopsida; Poales; Poaceae
Exons: 6
Source: RefSeq, a predicted model, not a curated record